CGAAGUAGAGUGGCGGCUUCGGCUGUCGAGGGUCGAUCCAUUUGGGAACUUGUGUAUGC
RNAcentral lists this ribosomal RNA (59 nucleotides) under Phytophthora palmivora. RNAcentral's name for it is "partial 28S rRNA". Lineage: Eukaryota; Oomycota; Peronosporomycetes; Peronosporales; Peronosporaceae. The record is from RNAcentral.